This 631-nucleotide ribosomal RNA is filed under the name Mrakia blollopis. RNAcentral describes it as "eukaryotic LSU rRNA". It matches the Rfam family "Eukaryotic large subunit ribosomal RNA", at positions 36 to 650 of the family's 3401-position model. The record is from RNAcentral. Lineage: Eukaryota; Fungi; Basidiomycota; Tremellomycetes; Cystofilobasidiales; Mrakiaceae.
AAGCAUAUCAAUAAGCGGAGGAAAAGAAACUAACAAGGAUUCCCCUAGUAACGGCGAGUGAAGCGGGAUGAGCUCAAAUUUAAAAUCUGGCGGCCUCAGGUCGUCCGAGUUGUAGUCUAGAGAAUCGUUUUCCGCGUUGGCCUGUGUACAAGUCCCUUGGAACAGGGCGUCAUAGAGGGUGAGAAUCCCGUCCUUGACACAGAUUACCAAUGCUUUGUGAUGCGAUCUCGAAGAGUCGAGUUGUUUGGGAAUGCAGCUCAAAAUGGGUGGUAAAUUCCAUCUAAAGCUAAAUAUUGGCGAGAGACCGAUAGCGAACAAGUACCGUGAGGGAAAGAUGAAAAGCACUUUGGAAAGAGAGUUAAACAGUACGUGAAAUUGUUAAAAGGGAAACGAUUGAAGUCAGUCAUGCUUUCCGAGACUCAGCCGAUUCUGUCGGUGUACUUCUCGGUUGGCAGGCCAGCAUCAGUUUCGAUCUGUGGAAAAGGUUGGAGGGAACGUGGCAUCUCCGGAUGUGUUAUAGCCCUUCUUCGAAUACAUAGAGCGGGACUGAGGAACGCAGCGCGCCUUUUAUUAGGUUGGCCCUCGGGUACAUACGCGCUUAGGAUGCUGGCAUAAUGGCUUUAAACGACCC